GAUGAAGAACGUAGCGAAAUGCGAUACGUAAUGUGAAUUGCAGAAUUCAGUGAAUCAUCGAGUCUUUGAACGCACAUUGCGCCCCCUGGUAUUCCGGGGGGCAUGCCUGUCCGAGCGUCAUUGCUGCCCUCAAGCACGGCUUGUGUGUUGGGCCUCCGCCCCCCGGCUCCCGGGGGGCGGGCCCGAAAGGCAGCGGCGGCACCGCGUCCGGUCCUCGAGCGUAUGGGGCUUCGUCACCCGCUCCGUAGGCCCGGCCGGCGCCCGCCGGCGACCCCCCUCAAUCUUUCCAGGUUGACCUCGGAUCAGGUAGGAAUACCCGCUGAACUUAAGCAUAUCAAUAAGCGGAGGA
Molecule: unclassified non-coding RNA, 349 nt
Filed under: soil metagenome
Description: partial contains 5.8S ribosomal RNA, internal transcribed spacer 2, and large subunit ribosomal RNA
Rfam family: 5.8S ribosomal RNA (bases 1-120)
Source: RNAcentral